GUCACGGUAGUAGACGACCCGAAGUAUCACCGCUCUCCUAAAGCGGGUGCCGCAGGUUCGGAUCCUGCCGGGGGCAC
This 77-nucleotide transfer RNA is filed under the name Planotetraspora silvatica. Its description in RNAcentral is "tRNA-Arg". The record is from RNAcentral. Lineage: Bacteria; Bacillati; Actinomycetota; Actinomycetes; Streptosporangiales; Streptosporangiaceae.